Non-coding RNA from Ailuropoda melanoleuca (giant panda), 464 nucleotides. The record is from the annotation of a RefSeq genome assembly. Lineage: Eukaryota; Metazoa; Chordata; Mammalia; Carnivora; Ursidae.
UCAUUGAGGCAGGGAGGGGGAGUAGAUAAUAGGGGUCUGGGAGAGACAAGCAUGGGAUUGGGGGUCCCUGAAGUCAGUGCUGUUGAGGAGUCACCAACAUGGCCUGGACUCUGGUCUUUCUCAGUCUCCUCACUCAGGGAACAGGUUCCUGGGCCCAGUCUACCCUGACUCAGCCGGCCUCAGUAUCUGGAGCUCUGGGACAGACCAUUACCAUUUCUUGUACCGGAACCAGCAAUGACAUUGGGAGGUAUAAUGCUGUCUCCUGGCACCAACAGUAUCCUGGAAAGGCCCCCAAAGCUCUGAUUUAUGGAGUAAAUACUCGGCCAUCAGGGAUCCCUGAUCGCUUCUCUGGCUCCAAGUCUGGCAACACAGCUUCCCUGACCAUCUCUGGGCUCCAGGCUGAGGAUGAGGCUGAGUAUUACUGUGCCUCAGCUAGAAGUGGUAGCACUUACACAGUGGUCUGA